UAUAACUCAGAGUUUAUAAAAAAAAUUAGACCCAAAAUGAUACUUUUGAUAAGAUGUGGCUCCACUUUCGAAUUUUAUAACUAUGUGUUUUGCACUACUUUCGGCUCAACUGUCGAUUCAGCUAUCGCUUUUGGCUCUAGUUUAGCAUCAUCUCCUUGAUGGUUUCUUCUUGAAGAUUAUGAGCAUCCUCUUUGUCUUCCUCGUAAGUAGGGUUAUUCGGGAUACCUAGUACUUUACCUGAAUGGAGCGUUAUUACUUUCACUUGCUUCUUCCAUUCUUUCUACGAAUUAUUAUCGGUGUUGCUUGGAAUGCUUGUGCCAAUUUUCUUUUUUGUCUCUUAUUAUGCUUAUCAAUUGGCUCAUCUGAUCUUCGAGCUCAGUCAAUAUGGUUCGCAUUUGAGUGCAUUCAUACUGUACUUGUCUGGCAUCUAUUCGCAUUGGAUGAAUCUCCCUCGAUUUGAUCAAGUCAUUGACCACAUACAAUAAGGUUUGGGUGGUCUCUCCAAUUGGGAUUAUAAGUGUUCGGAUAGAGAUUUUCACCCCUAUUCUCGACUUAAUUUACGUUCUCAGUUGGGAUAUCAAGCUCUAUCUAGUCUUGAUCUAGACUGUGGAUCCAGCCCGUUGUAGAACAUAUAUAGCCUCAACCAUUCAGGUAGACCAUGGUGAGGGCAUCAUUGUAUGAGAACCUUAAAACGCUCCCAAGCUUCGUGAGAACUUUCUCAUUCCAGUUGUUUAAAUGUUGCAAUCUCUCUCCUUAGUUGGAUUGUUUUGCUAAUAGGAAAGAACUUGUAUAAGAACUUUUUUGUCAGUUCAUUCCAUGUCGUCAUGGAUCCUAAUGCCUGCUAGUCUAACUAAGAGAAAGCGUUAUCCAUUAAGGAGAAGGGGAACAACCGAAGAUGAAUAACAUCAUUGUGACCUAGUUAAACUUAAAAA
This is a long non-coding RNA of Gossypium arboreum, 932 nucleotides long. RefSeq lists it as uncharacterized. The transcript has 3 exons. NCBI's taxonomy places the organism in Eukaryota, Viridiplantae, Streptophyta, Magnoliopsida, Malvales, Malvaceae. The record is from RefSeq and is a predicted model, not a curated record.